UACAGGGGGUGCAAACGUUGCUCGGAAUCAUUGGGCGUAAAGCGCACGUAGGCGGUCUGUUAUGUCGGAUGUGAAAGCCCUUGGCUCAACUGAGGAAGUGCAUCCGAAACUGGCAGGCUAGAGUACGAAAGAGGAUCGCGGAAUUCCCGGUGUAGAGGUGAAAUUCGUAGAUAUCGGGAGGAACACCUGUGGCGAAAGCGGCUCACUGGACCACAACUGACGCUGAUGCGCGAAAGCGUGGGGAGCGAACAGG
This 253-nucleotide ribosomal RNA is filed under the name uncultured bacterium. RNAcentral describes it as "partial 16S ribosomal RNA". It matches the Rfam family "Bacterial small subunit ribosomal RNA", at positions 524 to 776 of the family's 1533-position model. The record is from RNAcentral.